This 555-nucleotide long non-coding RNA is filed under the name Lepidothrix coronata (blue-crowned manakin). RNAcentral's name for it is "lncRNA (ENSLCOG00000011401.1)". Lineage: Eukaryota; Metazoa; Chordata; Aves; Passeriformes; Pipridae. The record is from RNAcentral.
GGUUAAGUCCUGCUUUUGGUGUUGCUCUGCAGAUCCUUGCUGACGAUGGUGGUCGCUGGAGGCAUCAGUAUUGAAGAUUAUCUCAUUUACAGACAAGAUCUUUGAAAUCCUGUCCCUUCAGGCAGCAAAGGAAGAAGAGGCUUUAUCGCAACAAAACAGGCAAAGAAACACAAACACUUGAAGAAACAGCACUUCUCCAAUUCUUCCCAAAAGUCCAGAGCCCCACCAGAUCCUGGUGGAUUCCAGCCACCAGUCUUCCUGCUUGGAGAUGUAACACAGGGAGCAGGAAUUCCUCAGAUGAGGGGUGGGGGAAGCCCAGGAGCCACCUCGAUGGACAUAGGCCACUGUCGAGAGCACAACAGGAGACUGUCUAAAGCCAAGCUCAAAGUGCACCAAGAGUUUUAAGGAGCCUAAAGAUCCCCAAGAUAACCCCAAGCAAGACCAUGAGAAGCAAUGUAGGGACCAGAAAAUUCUCACUAGCUGUGUCAGGCCUGAAUUUCCAGAGCCAUUUUUGGGGCCUACUCAGAGAAUAAAGGACCAGUGGAGCUGUAAUCA